GUAAUUUCCCCCUUUUUCCCUCCUGUUUAUGUAAUUUGUUUUUCAUUUCUUGGUUGCAUAUUUAAUUUGGUUUUCACUGUGGAAUUUUUCGUUUUGGACUUUUUAAUUGAUAUAUUUAGCUAGGUUUUUAUGUAGCAUUAGCCUCUUGAUAUUCUUUUUAAUUUUUCAGCUUGGAUGUGAUGUGGUGUCAUUUGUUGUAUUUAUCAGUGAUUGAUGUGUACAGCUUGUUCUGAUUGAUUUGAAAAUUUUCUUUUAUGUUCAUUGAAAAUGUUAAUGCCGGGAUAUUGGCUUGGUGUAAAAUGCUAGUUUUUUUUAAUAUUUAUUUUAAUUAUUUGUUGAUCUGGGAUAAAUGAUUCAUGCAAGACUAUCCCAUUUUGAUUGUCUUCUUUUUGAACAUGUAUUUUGAAAUUGUUUGCUCUUAGAAGAGAGAUGUGGAUAUUUGGAAUGAGCUAAUUUUUUGAGAUUGGUGCAGGAAAGACUACGUUUGUGAAGAGG
Molecule: unclassified non-coding RNA, 495 nt
Filed under: Hevea brasiliensis (rubber tree)
Lineage: Eukaryota; Viridiplantae; Streptophyta; Magnoliopsida; Malpighiales; Euphorbiaceae
Source: RNAcentral